GACGAACGCUGGCGGCGUGCUUAACACAUGCAAGUCGAACGGAAAGGCCCUGCUUUUGUGGGGUGCUCGAGUGGCGAACGGGUGAGUAACACGUGGGUAACCUGCCCUUGACUUUGGGAUAGCUUCAGGAAACUGGGGCUAAUACCGGAUAGGAGCUCCUGCUGCAUGGUGGGGGUUGGAAAGUUUCGGCGGUUGGGGAUGGACUCGCGGCUUAUCAGCUUGUUGGUGGGGUAGUGGCUUACCAAGGCUUUGACGGGUAGCCGGCCUGAGAGGGUGACCGGCCACAUUGGGACUGAGAUACGGCCCAGACUCCUACGGGAGGCAGCAGUGGGGAAUAUUGCACAAUGGGCGGAAGCCUGAUGCAGCAACGCCGCGUGCGGGAUGACGGCCUUCGGGUUGUAAACCGCUUUCGCCUGUGACGAAGCGUGAGUGACGGUAAUGGGUAAAGAAGCACCGGCUAACUACGUG
RNAcentral lists this ribosomal RNA (468 nucleotides) under uncultured bacterium. Its description in RNAcentral is "partial 16S ribosomal RNA". It matches the Rfam family "Bacterial small subunit ribosomal RNA", at positions 28 to 507 of the family's 1533-position model. The record is from RNAcentral.